GUUAUAGAGCAGCACAUGUACUAAAUUGGAAGAAUACAGAGAAGAUUGGCAGCGGUGCUGUGCAUACAUAACAUGCAAAUUCGUGAUGUGUUUCACACUAAA
This 102-nucleotide small nuclear RNA is filed under the name Meriones unguiculatus (Mongolian gerbil). The record is from RNAcentral. Lineage: Eukaryota; Metazoa; Chordata; Mammalia; Rodentia; Muridae.